AUUGUAUUAAGUCAUACAAAAGUGUGCCUGACGUUUUAAAUGCAUUCUGUCAUUACUAAAUGUGUAAUGUGAUAGGUAUUUUAACAUGACCAUUUUCUAAAAAUGAUUUAAUCAGUCGUCUUCCUCAAAUUAAGGGGAUGAUGACACAAUCUUUGGAGAGCGGGAGGGAAUCUGAUUUCAUUGGUCCUCAACACGCAGCUCAGACGCUCGGUUCAAAAUAAAUGGAGUUAGCCCUGAGUUGGCUUGCCGGUUUGUUCUGAGGGAUUCGUUGUCAUAGAAUUGUAGCUGGCUAAUUUGGUGAGCCAUAUCCGUGGUACCGGUUAUCCCAAAUUGAACUCGGAGUUGGCCAAAGUUACCUCGCUAAUUUCUCAAACCUGGUUUGUAGUGUAAUAAGGCUCUGACCACUGAUAGAUGAUAUUGGUUAGACUAAUACUAGGGUUGUAAAAUUCUGCUAACUUUUACAGAAAUACUGGUUGGAGGAUUCCGGAUGUCCUAUUUAUUCCCUCUGGGAAUAUUCCAACCGGGAAUUUUGGGGAAAAUUACCUUCAUUUUCCAACCCUUAACUGUAGCAGACUAUUGAUUAUGUGUGAGAGAAUGAGUAUAAAAUAUUUACAGAUGUAACGAUGCUGUUGAAUGAGUAUAAAAUAUUUACAGAUGUAACAAUGCUGUUGAAUGAGUAUAAAAUAUUUACAGAUGUAACGAUGCUGUUGAAUGCUGGUUUUGUGUCAACUCUCAGAAGAAAUUCAAAUAACACAUCUCAUUUCUUUCAAAGAUUUUAUGCUACAAUGCACAGUCGGACAGAUCCCCACCCUCCCAUUUAUCAAUCAGGGCAGAGGUUGUACAUUACAAAAUGGUGACAAGGAUGGGAUUGUUGUAUGGUUUUCCACAAACCUAACAUUUAGGCCUGUCAAAUGAUGGGAAAAAUAUAUAUAAUUUGUAUAUAAAAUAUAAUUUGCUGUGAUUUUCUCAAGGACUGUAAUUUAAUCAUUUUCAUACAUACAAUAUGGAUGUAGCGAUUAAUCAAAUGAGUUAAAUGGAGAGCUUUCUUUAAUCUCAAUGUCCACUUGUUUUUUACAUGGCAUUGUGGAUUUUAGCUGUAAAGAUGAUGUAUUUUGGAUAUUUUCAGUAAAUUUACAAUCCUUUCAGACAAUGUGAUUAAUCGCAAGGGGGGGGGGAAGUGCACUAAAAUGACAAAAAGUUAACUGAUUUAACUCUUUGACAGUCCUAACAAGAAAACAAGCUUACAUGCAUUUAAAUGGAUACUUCGGGCUUUUGGCAAAUGAGGCCGUUUAUCUACUACUUCCCCAGAAUCGGAUGAACUGAUGAACCAUUUUUUGUGUCUAGUAUGAAGGAAGUUAGAGUUUCACAAGCCAAUGCUAACUAGCGUUACCCAUAGUCUUCCAGUCAUUGUGCUAUGUG
Long non-coding RNA from Oncorhynchus tshawytscha (Chinook salmon), 1419 nucleotides. The record is from Ensembl. Lineage: Eukaryota; Metazoa; Chordata; Actinopteri; Salmoniformes; Salmonidae.